GGGCCUAUAGCUCAGUUGGUUAGAGCACCUGACUCAUAAUCAGGUGGUCCCAGGUUCAAGUCCUGGUGGGCCCACCA
Molecule: transfer RNA, 77 nt
Filed under: Chitinophagaceae bacterium
Lineage: Bacteria; Pseudomonadati; Bacteroidota; Chitinophagia; Chitinophagales; Chitinophagaceae
Also listed under: 3 other names
Description: tRNA-Ile
Rfam family: tRNA
About the family: Transfer RNA (tRNA) molecules are approximately 80 nucleotides in length.
Source: RNAcentral